Molecule: non-coding RNA, 113 nt
Filed under: Clostridium sp.
Lineage: Bacteria; Bacillati; Bacillota; Clostridia; Eubacteriales; Clostridiaceae
Also listed under: 1 other name
Description: Glycine sequence
Rfam family: Glycine riboswitch aptamer
About the family: This family represents the bacterial glycine riboswitch.
Source: RNAcentral
AGACACAACCCUGGAGAGAGCCAGAAAUGGACAUCGAAGAAGAAACUUAGGAAGGUUAAGUAAACACUUAAGUGCCUAGGGAAACUUUCAGAUAAAAGGACAGGAUGUAAAUA